AAAAUAGACAGGGAAGGGCAACGCGAAGGAGCAAUCCGACGCUGCUUCCCUUCGAGCACACAAGUCCGCCGUGGCUGCGCGUUGGUUCGUGCGUGCCUGCGUAGUCUUGCGCGCGUCGAGGGAGAGUUUUACACUCUCCUACUCGGUGUCGUCGCAUCUCGCGUGGUGUGUGCGCUCCGGCGCGUAGACAAACGUUGUUUCUUCUUAGAGGUAUUGACGACUCUACAUAAGUCGUACGAGACAGAGAGCAAUAACAGGUCUGUGAUGCCCUUAGAUGCCCUGGGCCGCACGCGAGCUACAAUGCCGGGUACAGCGGGUCUUACAUCCUUCUUCGAAAGAAGCGGGUAWCCCUCUGAAAGCCCUUCCGAUGUACGCUGUGGAACGCUACGUUCCUUACACGAACAUCAUGGCUCGA
Molecule: ribosomal RNA, 415 nt
Filed under: Leucothoe sp. 3 KW-2011
Lineage: Eukaryota; Metazoa; Arthropoda; Malacostraca; Amphipoda; Leucothoidae
Description: bacterial SSU rRNA
Rfam family: Eukaryotic small subunit ribosomal RNA
Source: RNAcentral